Molecule: ribosomal RNA, 497 nt
Filed under: uncultured bacterium
Lineage: Bacteria
Description: partial 16S ribosomal RNA
Rfam family: Bacterial small subunit ribosomal RNA
Source: RNAcentral
GAUGAACGCUGGCGGCGUGCCUAAUACAUGCAAGUCGAGCGAACGGACGAGAAGCUUGCUUCUCUGAUGUUAGCGGCGGACGGGUGAGUAACACGUGGAUAACCUACCUAUAAGACUGGGAUAACUUCGGGAAACCGGAGCUAAUACCGGAUGAUAUUUUGAACCGCAUGGUUCAAAAGUGAAAGACGGUCUUGCUGUCACUUAUAGAUGGAUCCGCGCUGCAUUAGCUAGUUGGUAAGGUAACGGCUUACCAAGGCAACGAUGCAUAGCCGACCUGAGAGGGUGAUCGGCCACACUGGAACUGAGACACGGUCCAGACUCCUACGGGAGGCAGCAGUAGGGAAUCUUCGGCAAUGGGCGAAAGCCUGACGGAGCAACGCCGCGUGAGUGAUGAAGGUCUUCGGAUCGUAAAACUCUGUUAUUAGGGAAGAACAUAUGUGUAAGUAACUGUGCACAUCUUGACGGUACCUAAUCAGAAAGCAACGGCUAACUACGUG